UUGCACGCUGGCGGCAGGCCUCACCCAUGCAAGUCGAGCGGAUGAAGGGAGCUUGCUCCUGGAUUCAGCGGCGGACGGGUGAGUAAUGCCUAGGAAUCUGCCUGGUAGUGGGGGAUAACGUCCGGAAACGGGCGCUAAUACCGCAUACGUCCUGAGGGAGAAAGUGGGGGAUCUUCGGACCUCACGCUAUCAGAUGAGCCUAGGUCGGAUUAGCUAGUUGGUGGGGUAAAGGCCUACCAAGGCGACGAUCCGUAACUGGUCUGAGAGGAUGAUCAGUCACACUGGAUCUGAGACACGGUCCAGACUCCUACGGGAGGCAGCAGUGGGGAAUAUUGGACAAUGGGCGAAAGCCUGAUCCAGCCAUGCCGCGUGUGUGAAGAAGGUCUUCGGAUUGUAAAGCACUUUAAGUUGGGAGGAAGGGCAGUAAGUUAAUACCUUGCUGUUUUGACGUUACCAACAGAAUAAGCACCGGCUAACUUCGUG
RNAcentral lists this ribosomal RNA (483 nucleotides) under uncultured bacterium. Its description in RNAcentral is "partial 16S ribosomal RNA". It matches the Rfam family "Bacterial small subunit ribosomal RNA", at positions 30 to 507 of the family's 1533-position model. The record is from RNAcentral.